AGAGUUUGAUCAUGGCUCAGGAUUAACGCUAGCGGCAGGCCUAAUACAUGCAAGUCGAACGGCAGCACGGGGGGCAACCCUGGUGGCGAGUGGCGGACGGGUGAGUAAAGCAUCGGAACGUAUCCUGGAGUGGGGGAUAACGUAGCGAAAGUUACGCUAAUACCGCAUAUUCUGUGAGCAGGAAAGAGGGGGAUCGCAAGACCUCUUGCUUUAGGAGCGGCCGAUGUCGGAUUAGCUAGUUGGUGAGGUAAAGGCUCACCAAGGCGACGAUCCGUAGCGGGUCUGAGAGGAUGAUCCGCCACACUGGGACUGAGACACGGCCCAGACUCCUACGGGAGGCAGCAGUGGGGAAUCUUGCGCAAUGGACGAAAGUCUGACGCAGCCACGCCGCGUGAGUGAAGAAGGCCUUCGGGUUGUAAAGCUCUUUCGGCCGGGAAGAAAUCGUAUGGGCUAAUACCCUGUGCGGAUGACGGUACCGGCAUAAGAAGCACCGGCUAACUACGUG
Molecule: ribosomal RNA, 505 nt
Filed under: uncultured bacterium
Lineage: Bacteria
Description: bacterial SSU rRNA
Rfam family: Bacterial small subunit ribosomal RNA
Source: RNAcentral